CAAUAUGACGGCUAGUGGCGAAAGGGAGAGUAAUAGAUGGGAACGUACCCUGGACACGAGGACAACAGCUCGAAAGGGCUGCUAAUACUCGAUAAUGUCGCAAGAUCAAAGGGCGGGGACCGCAAGGCCUGCCGGUCUUGGAUCGGCCCAUCUCCUAUCAGGUAGUUGGUGAGGUAACGGCUCACCAAGCCGACGACGGGUAGCGGGUGUGAGAGCAUGGCCCGCCUCAUCGGAACUGAGACACUGUCCGGACACCUACGGGUGGCUGCAGUAACGAAUCUUGGGCAAUGGGCGAAAGCCUGACCCAGCAAUGCCGCGUGCAGGAGGAAGUCCUUCGGGAUGUAAACUGCUGUCAGGGUCUAGCAAGCGAUGCGGGUAAAUAAUCCGCAAAGUUGAGCAGAUCCAGAGGAAGCCACGGCUAACUCUGUGCCAGCAGCCGCGGUAAGACAGAGGUGGCAAGCGUUGUUC
RNAcentral lists this ribosomal RNA (468 nucleotides) under uncultured bacterium. RNAcentral's name for it is "bacterial SSU rRNA". It matches the Rfam family "Bacterial small subunit ribosomal RNA", at positions 81 to 546 of the family's 1533-position model. The record is from RNAcentral.